UGCCAGCAGCCGCGGUAACACGGGGGGCGCAAGCGUUAUUCGGAAUUAUUGGGCGUAAAGGGCGCGCAGGCGGUGCGGCAAGUCAGUUGUGAAAGCCCUCGGCUCAACCGAGGAAUUGCGACUGAAACUGCCGGACUUGAGUCCCGGAGAGGGUAGCGGAAUUCCCAGUGUAGCGGUGAAAUUCGUAGAUAUCAGGAGGAACACCGAUGGCGAAGGCAUCUCUCUGAGUCGAUAUUGACGCUGAGGCGCGAAGGCGUGGGUAGCGAACGGGAUUAGAUA
Molecule: ribosomal RNA, 279 nt
Filed under: uncultured bacterium
Lineage: Bacteria
Description: partial 16S ribosomal RNA
Rfam family: Bacterial small subunit ribosomal RNA
Source: RNAcentral